UUUUUUUUUUUUUUUCUGGCUGCUCUUUAAAAAUUGAGAUCUAGUAUAAUGAAACUCAUAUUCCUACUUGGUAUUUGUGCUUGACUAAACAGAGAAUACUCUCUCUCAGGUUUGUGGCACUUUUCUCCCAGAUAGUUUCUCACAUUUCUUACCUCCUAGUCCUCAUAGGCUUAUAGGUUUGCAACCCUAGAACUAGUAUGUCUUUGAUUUCAAACUCUUAUUUUGGCUUAAACCACCAUAUAAGUGCUGAUGAUUUCUAAAUCUCUAUUUCUACUUAAAUAUCCUGCAUACUCCCUAGGACCCAUGUAUUCAGUAUCAAAUUAUUAUUUUUUAAUAAACCUAAUUUUCUUCCACUAUUCUUUAAAUGACCCAGUUUAACAUAAUUACAUUCCUACAGUUGUCCAAAUUUUUAAAUACCCUUAGGGUUCUUCUUUCUUCCUUUUUUUCUCAUCCUACCCACAGCUUUUCAAUCAUGUGUCAAAUUAUGACAUGUCUUUGCUUUUACAGCUCUCAAUAUUUUGAAUACCUUUCUCUUCUUGAUAUCUCGAAAACCACUUGCUUUCCAAGAUGAAGCAAAAUUAAUUUCUAAAACUAAAUCUCCUGUCUCCAAGAGCAGUUAGUGUCUCCUUUCCAUGUAUAGGCAUCUCAAGCACACUGUACAUUGUAAGGGUAUUUAUUUACAGCUGGCUCUCUCACCAGUUGAUGGAUUCUUACAAGGACAGAGAUUAUGAUUUAGUUAUCUUUGCAUCAACAGUACUAAGACAAAAACAUGAACUCAAUGAAUGUGUCUCAUGAACAAAUACAUGAAGUUAUACAAUUCAAUGAAAAUAAGAUUAUUUCCUAUCAUGAAUUUACUUUCAAGUACAGUCUAUAUUAUACUUCAAUUUCUGAUUAAAUCUCCCCCCUCUUCUUGCUGGCACUUUUCUUGGUGCUUGCUUUGUACUGAUAGUAGAACCACUUAAAUAUUUGUACCUGUAAAAGUUAGACUGUAAAGUUAAAGUGGCUGUAUCAAAAGAAAACUUAUUGGCUCCACGAUGACAAUAUGAAUUUUUAAGGUAACUUCAAAAAUUCUGCUUUAAAUAUAUAAGGAUGCCAAAUAUUAACACUGAAAAAUAUGUAAUUACUCAUAAUCAGAAUCCUGAGAGGCACUGAACAGCUGCUGAAAAAUAUGGCAUGUCACUAUGCCAGCUUGAGUUUAAUGACCUACAUGUGAAGGGCUACAUAUCCAAUUACUAAUCCUCCCUCAGCUACUCUUUAGCCUGAUAUAGAGGCAGCUGAAAAAAAGAUGCCCUACUAACAUCAGAAAUGGAUCCAGACUUUGUUGUCAAUGUUCAGCCAGGAGAUCUUUUAGAUUUAAGACGAGGAAGAAAUAGGGAGUGACCCACAACAAUGUUAUAGCUGACACAGCUUUUCAAGUAAAAUUUGAGGGUUUAAAGCAAAAAUGAUUUCAGUUUUCUGACUAGAGAACUCAAAUCCUGCAUUUAAUUUUGUUUAUUAAAACCUUUAAACAGGCUCAAAUAUGUUUUCAAAUAUCAAGAGUAAUUUACUUCACAAUUCUUCCCGUACCAAUGUGGCAGUCUUCUAAUUCAUCCACUCAAAUCUCAUUCUUAUCUUCAAAUUCCGUAGUAAUUACCUAUUAGAAGUAGGCCAAAACAAAAGCUAAAUAGAAAACGACAGUCUACUAGAUUAUGUUUCAGUUGUCCCUCAGUUGACUUGCUCUAUAUAUAGCAAAAAAGAUCAUAUAAGGUCAUGUAUUAGGAACAAUGAAAUGUCACAUGAUGUUUUGCAAAACAGCAUAGGAAAAACAGUUCAAGGAAUGAAUGGCGAAUAAGAUUUAGGACUAUAGUUUUAAUAAAAACGUUUAAGCAGUCUAGAUUUAAGUGCAUCUUACUGCGAGUUUGACUCCUUCUUAAAAUUCGAUUUUUCAUUUGAGUCGCGUGCAACCGUGUGAUACCGACAACUUUCUUCUGCACACAUUAUAGUUUAGGCACAGCUAUGCUUUCCUUUCAUCUCAUCAUCAUAGAGAAUUAAAGAGCCCUCCACCGUGGACUCGAAUUAAACAUUUUUAAGAGUAAGUGUGUCUUAACACCGCCCUCGUCCCCAAAGGAAGAUAUAAAUGAACACGUGCCUGCAAAUACACACUUGCUUGGAGGUGGAAAAACAGACAUCACCGUAACUACCCCUCACCCCCACUCCAAAAACUCCAA
Molecule: long non-coding RNA, 2207 nt
Filed under: Canis lupus familiaris (dog)
Lineage: Eukaryota; Metazoa; Chordata; Mammalia; Carnivora; Canidae
Description: lncRNA (ENSCAFG00000056691.1, ENSCAFG00845024857.1)
Source: RNAcentral